CGGACCAAGGAGUUUAGCGUGUGCGCGAGUCAUUGGGUGGAAAACCUAAAGGCGCAAUGAAAGUGAAGGGGGCCUCUGGCCCCCGAGGGAAGAUGGGCGUCCGUCCUUCGCAGGCGGCGCCCCGCACUCCCGGGGCGUCUCUUUCUCGUUACGAGUGGAGGCGCACCUGUAGCGCACUCGCUGAUACCCGAAAGAUGGUGAACUAUGCCUGGCCAGGACGAAGCCAGGGGAAACCCUGGUGGAGGUCCGCAGCGAUUCUGACGUGCAAAUCGAUCGUCGGAGCUGGGUAUAGGGGCGAAAGACCAAUCGAACCAUCUAGUAGCUGGUUCCUUCCGAA
Molecule: ribosomal RNA, 337 nt
Filed under: Cimex adjunctus
Lineage: Eukaryota; Metazoa; Arthropoda; Insecta; Hemiptera; Cimicidae
Description: partial 28S ribosomal RNA
Rfam family: Eukaryotic large subunit ribosomal RNA
Source: RNAcentral